This 72-nucleotide transfer RNA is filed under the name Pangasianodon gigas (Mekong giant catfish). RNAcentral's name for it is "tRNA-Glu". It matches the Rfam family "tRNA". From Rfam's summary of the family: Transfer RNA (tRNA) molecules are approximately 80 nucleotides in length. Lineage: Eukaryota; Metazoa; Chordata; Actinopteri; Siluriformes; Pangasiidae. The record is from RNAcentral.
CCCAGGAGGACUAGUGGUUAGGCCACAGCGCUCUCACCACUGUGGCCUGGGUUCGAUCCCCAGCCACUGGGG